RNAcentral lists this ribosomal RNA (32 nucleotides) under Pseudopithomyces chartarum. RNAcentral describes it as "partial 18S ribosomal RNA". The record is from RNAcentral. Lineage: Eukaryota; Fungi; Ascomycota; Dothideomycetes; Pleosporales; Didymosphaeriaceae.
GUUCAGUAGGUGAACCUGCGGAAGGAUCAUUA